RNAcentral lists this long non-coding RNA (410 nucleotides) under Dermacentor andersoni. RNAcentral describes it as "uncharacterized LOC126517708". The record is from RNAcentral. Lineage: Eukaryota; Metazoa; Arthropoda; Arachnida; Ixodida; Ixodidae.
UUGCUUCACAGCCUGCCACCGAAACUCCUUAUGAAACGAGCUCGAGAAGGCCAGGACCUAGAAGUACUCAACUUACAAGUGAAGAAACGCCAGAAACAGGAACCACUGAGGUUGGAGGCAGCGGAACGGUGAGUGGUGUUCUAGCUUGCUACCUAGAGAGGUUCUGUACUGUAACGGUGAUCUGGUAUGAUGAAACAUGCAAGCAAUUGUUUAAUUCGCAUCCCUCCAUUCAUGAAGAAACGCCUAACUAACAUUAAGCUGGGGGAGACGUUUAAAAGUGGUAUGAGUUCAUUGGAAUCAGAAGAGCAGGACUCUGGUCAUUCGAUUUUUCAUAUGAUACCUAUUAUUGUCGGGUUCUCUACAAACUUAAAAUCUGAAAAAAGAAACGCAUUUAAUUUAUUUCCCGUUUU